AGUGAACGCUGGCGGCAGGCCUAACACAUGCAAGUCGAACGGCAGCACAGUAAGAGUUUGCUCUUACGGGUGGCGAGUGGCGGACGGGUGAGGAAUACAUCGGAAUCUACUUUUUCGUGGGGGAUAACGUAGGGAAACUUACGCUAAUACCGCAUACGACCUACGGGUGAAAGCAGGGGAUCUUCGGACCUUGCGCGAUUGAAUGAGCCGAUGUCGGAUUAGCUAGUUGGCGGGGUAAAGGCCCACCAAGGCGACGAUCCGUAGCUGGUCUGAGAGGAUGAUCAGCCACACUGGAACUGAGACACGGUCCAGACUCCUACGGGAGGCAGCAGUGGGGAAUAUUGGACAAUGGGCGCAAGCCUGAUCCAGCCAUGCCACGUGGGUGAAGAAGGCCUUCGGGUUGUAAAGCCCUUUUGUUGGGGAAGAAAAGCAGCAGGUUAAUACCCCGCUGUUCUGACGGUACCCAAAGAAUAAGCACCGGCUAACUUCGUG
This 492-nucleotide ribosomal RNA is filed under the name uncultured bacterium. RNAcentral's name for it is "partial 16S ribosomal RNA". It matches the Rfam family "Bacterial small subunit ribosomal RNA", at positions 29 to 507 of the family's 1533-position model. The record is from RNAcentral.